This 549-nucleotide ribosomal RNA is filed under the name Desulfovibrionaceae bacterium PR7_F05. RNAcentral describes it as "bacterial SSU rRNA". It matches the Rfam family "Bacterial small subunit ribosomal RNA", at positions 151 to 681 of the family's 1533-position model. The record is from RNAcentral. Lineage: Bacteria; Pseudomonadati; Thermodesulfobacteriota; Desulfovibrionia; Desulfovibrionales; Desulfovibrionaceae.
GGGAAACCGCUGCUAAUACUGGAUACGCUCUCUUCUUAACGUUGAGGGGAAAGGUGGCCUCUUCAUGAAAGCUACCACUUGGGGAUGAGUCCGCGUCUCAUUAGCUUGUUGGUGGGGUAAUGGCCUACCAAGGCUACGAUGAGUAGCUGGUCUGAGAGGAUGACCAGCCACACUGGGACUGGAACACGGCCCAGACUCCUACGGGAGGCAGCAGUGGGGAAUAUUGCGCAAUGGACGAAAGUCUGACGCAGCGACGCCGUGUGAGGGAAGAAGGCUUUCGAGUCGUAAACCUCUGUCAGGAGGGAAGAACCGCGUGGAGGCGAAUAGGCUCUGCGUCUGACGGUACCUCCAGAGGAAGCACCGGCUAACUCCGUGCCAGCAGCCGCGGUAAUACGGAGGGUGCAAGCGUUAAUCGGAAUCACUGGGCGUAAAGCGUACGUAGGCGGCUUAUCAAGUCGGAUGUGAAAGCCCUCGGCUCAACCGGGGAACUGCAUUCGAAACUGGUAGGCUAGAAUCCGAGAGAGGGUGGCGGAAUUCCAGGUGUAGGAG